Long non-coding RNA from Callithrix jacchus (white-tufted-ear marmoset), 2879 nucleotides. RefSeq lists it as uncharacterized. Lineage: Eukaryota; Metazoa; Chordata; Mammalia; Primates; Cebidae. The record is from RefSeq and is a predicted model, not a curated record.
UUCUCUGCCAAGAAUGCUGAAUCUUGUCUUUCAUAUUUGAACAAGGAUGAUGCAGCAAGAAGGCUCUCACCAGAUGUCAACACCUUACCAUUGGACUUCCCAGGCUCCAGAACUGUCUGAAAUUAGGUUUUUCAACAGAAUCCAAGUCUAAUUAUAGAUCAUACCUGUUUUACUGAAUUACAUUUUUUCUCAUGCUAAAGCAUAUUUCUAACAACAACGUAACAAUUUUAACAUACCCCCUAACAUGGAAUACAAAUGACGCACUAAAUAAAUGAACUUCAAAUAAUCAAUUAAAGGCUAUGUGGACUACAAGAUCAUUCCAUCCUGUUUCACGUGAGCCAAAACAGAUUUGUUAGCUGCAAGCUCAAAUAAAGUGAUCUCAAAUGAGAGUUAUGUCAGUAAAAACUGCCUCUUAACAGGUCAGCAGUGACUUUACUCACUUAAAUUUUACAAAAUAUUUUGAAGAUUUAAAAGAUUAAAUGUCCUGAAAGGGACAACAGCCCAGCACUUUUUGCAAACACAGCUGUUGGUUAAAGCUCUUGAGAAAAGAAAAACUCUGGAAGAAAAAUCAGUUGUAGGAAGAGAUAAUGGUUAUAAAAUAUUAAGCAAAUUUUGGAAUCUUCAUUAAUCUAAUAGCUGACUUGUUCUAAACCUUUGCCUCCUUACUGUAUGCUAGGCUUGCUUCAGGCCCUGGGCAUAGAGCAAUAACCAUGACACACCAGGUCCCUACUCUCAUGGUGCUUACAAUCUACGGGGAGGAGACACACAUUAAGCAAGUACACAGGCAACCAAACAGCGAGGAGGCAGUGGCCAACAGGGUGGGAAAAUGGACACUACUUUAGUUUCAGUCAUCAGCAAAGCCUUUACUGAGGAAAUAAUGCUGGCACUAAGGCCGCCAUGUGGAGGUCACAGACUAGAGUCACCUAGACAGACAGUAUGACAAAUACAAAGACAGAAAAAGAGAAACAAUCUCAGCAUGUUCAAAGAACUUUAAAAUAAAAAGCCUCCAUAGUCUAUGUAUCGUAGUAAAGAAUCAGUUUUAUAUUAGGUGUGAUAACAGCAUUUUGACUACAUGUGAAAAUGUUCAGAUUGUACAUAAAUAAUGUCAGGAUUCCUUUCAAAUAUUUCAGCAAAAGAAAGAUAAACAUGACAUAUGUACAAAAAGUAUUAAAUUUGGGUUAUGCAGUAUUCUCUCAAUGCACUAUUCUCUCUACUUUUGUAUGAUUGAAAUUUUUCAUACUUUUUUUAAAACUCCACAUAAUAGAGGCUUCACGUUAAAACUGACAAUACCUCAUAUACUCUUUCUCUUACUUUUAUACCCCAGCUCAGCUCUUACCUAUUCAGUUCUUCCUUCUGAUGACCUCACCUGAGAUAUACACAAAAGCUUUAAGGAUAAGUAUAUAUAGGAUAGGUCCUACACUCUAUGACUGAAUCCAGUUUCUAUGAAAGAUACAGCUAAUCUAUCUAAGGCAAGAGUGGAAGCUAGACAGUAUUAAAAUAAGAGAGCAUAAAAUAAACAACCACAUACUGAUAAAAAAGAAGUCACUCUUCCUGAGAAAAACAGGAACUGCCUGGACCAAAGACCAUCUUCCCAAUUCCACGGGAUUUCUCUGGCAAAGACAUCCUAAUUGUGAAAUCCCACUGUCAAUUUUCAGUCUUGAUCUUACUUGACCUUGCUGUAGUACUUGACACAGUCGAACACUCCCUUCCUGCUUGAACCUCUUCUUGCUCGGCAGAUGUGAGAGCACUGAUGCCUGCGCUUCUUCCUUUUAAGGACAGGUGCCCCUCCCGAGAGACAGAAGAAACUUUUGUCCCAAGUGACCAAUUUUGAAGAAGCCAGGAGUGAGUCCCUCCUGGGACCCAAUAAUCUAUACUUUAUUGAAUGGUUUGGAAACUGUGUGUCAGAAUCUUCUAUUUCAAGUAACAUAGUGGAGUCAAUAUCUGAAAAACCUGCUGAUACUGAAUUCCUAUAACUGCUAAACAAAGUAUUAGCAGUUUCUUUUUAAAUGCACAGUUGAGUUCUCAAGAAAGAAAAGAAAAUCCCCAGGAGCUAAAAAUCAAGUAGGAGCUAAACAACAGAAAAAGUAGAAACUGAGGCUACAGAGAUCCUGGGAGCACCUUCUGGUGCUAGCAUCAAGAGCGGUUUAAAGCUGCAGAGGCACAGAAGAUGCUACGGCCUGAUGAUACAAGACGUAGAGAGGUGGAAGUGAGCCCCUUGAAAAAAAACUAAAACCCUUGAAGGAGGACAAUCUCAGUGAGAUAAUAGGCUGGAAAAAAUAUACCUGCUGGUGAAGGGAAAAAAAAUCACACAUCUCUUUGACCUAGGCUCCAUAGGAGAGUCUCCUCUGAACAUUCAGAACCCAAUAUUGCAGUCAUACAGUAAAGUCCAGCUAACUAACCCCAAGUAUAGAAAUGAAUUUAAAGUGAUCCUAGGUUGGUAGCACCCAUGGCUGAACCAAAAAACCCUCUCAGAACUAUUUACUUCAGAAUACGCCUACAGUCUAAAUCCUGCUAAAUCCUUACAAAACAAAUAAGGAAAGAGCCAUUAUGAUUGAGUCCAAGAAAAAAAAUAGCAAAGUGUAGUACAAUAUCAGUACAGGUCUUAAAAAAAAAAAAGACAAAUAUAGAAUAUUUUUAAACUAUAUAUAUAGCCGGACGCGGUGGCUCAUGCCUGUAAUCCCAGCACUUUGGGAGGCCAAGGCGGGUGGAUCCUGAGGUCAAGAGAUUGAGACCAUCCUGGUCAACAUGGUGAAACCCCGUCUCUACUAAAAAUACAAAAAAAUUAGCUGGGCAUGGUGGUGCGUGCCUGUAAUCCCAGCUACUCAGGAGGCUGAGGCAGGAGAAUUGCCUGAACCCAGGAGGCGGAGGUUGCGGUGAGC